This is a long non-coding RNA of Micropterus salmoides (largemouth bass), 314 nucleotides long. RefSeq lists it as uncharacterized. The record is from RefSeq and is a predicted model, not a curated record. The transcript is spliced from 3 exons. NCBI's taxonomy places the organism in Eukaryota, Metazoa, Chordata, Actinopteri, Centrarchiformes, Centrarchidae.
CAUGAUCUCACAAAAGGCUUAAUUUUUAGCCAGAACACAGUGUUCUCCUGCCAUCCAGUGAGAGCAGCAAGGGGAGCUGAAAAAAGCCAGGAACACUUUGUCAAGACUACUACACUACACCUCAGCACAGCAACAAGUCAACAUCUUGUUUGAGUUUAGCCCUCAGCUGCUGAUGGCACACUGUACAGAGAUCUGCUCCUGCUGGGUUUUUACAACUUUAUUGGAAGGUCUCACGAAAGACUGCCUAACUCCAGAUUAUGUAACCUCUGCUUUUCACCAAGUAGGUAUGCAGUAGUCUCCAAGUCCAAACUGAG